ACCGAAGUUAUUCCACCGGUUC
This 22-nucleotide small nuclear RNA is filed under the name Arabidopsis thaliana (thale cress). Its description in RNAcentral is "snRNA_09788". The record is from RNAcentral. Lineage: Eukaryota; Viridiplantae; Streptophyta; Magnoliopsida; Brassicales; Brassicaceae.